ACAGUGCUAUCAGAUUGUACAUGAAGGUGGGAGAUCAUUCGAGAGUGAGGAUCAGGUGCAGGUCCCCUGGUUGCGAGUAUCCUGAGCCCUCAAUGUCUUGGAAACCAAGCACUUGACUAGGCUUCAUUAUUUUGGGGUUUCCUAUCUUUGGUCUCGUGGCUGACCCAAAACAUUUGCCCCAAAGGUCUACCAUUGCAUAGAAAUUUAGAGACCUUUUAGAGUAUCGAGUCGUUAUCCUCCU
RNAcentral lists this long non-coding RNA (241 nucleotides) under Lathyrus oleraceus (garden pea). RNAcentral describes it as "Pisum sativum (pea) long non-coding RNA (PSAT_LNC027918)". The record is from RNAcentral. Lineage: Eukaryota; Viridiplantae; Streptophyta; Magnoliopsida; Fabales; Fabaceae.